UUUCCUUUCCUCCCUGCUUGCUGCCUUACCUAUUAAGGGCUUAAGAACCCUCUGAAGCUGUGGGGUAAGGGAGGGGGGAGCAGGCGCCCCCGCUCAGGUCUCCGGGAGUCAGUUCUACGUCUGGCUGGGCCUCCCCUACUUCUACUCUCUCCCCACCUGUCUCUAGUUCUUUCUCUCAGUUUUUCCCGGUGUGGGUUUUUAUUUCCACUUUUCACCCUUCUUUGGGGAGUACCUAGGGUUCAUCUAUUUCAAGUCUCUUGGUAAACAGCGGCCCAGAGAGCUGGCCUUGCCAAGGGCACAAAGGCCCGGAAUAAGCAGAAGCGGGGCUGUAGCCAGCCCUGAUCUGUGCCCUAGCUGUGACUCCCCGCUGUCUCUGUUUCAUUUGAGAUCCCCAAAACCUCCCCUCUGCUUUCCAAAAUCUUCCCUCUGAUCUUUCCUCUCCCUCCCCUCUCAUCCAUCUCCUGGCUCUUCCCUCCUCUCCUCUCUUCCCACGCCCUCCACCUGCUAGUUCCUCUGCCGCUCUCACGGGAGGCCUGUCUGUCUGCCUGCCCUGCAGGGUUUGUGGGGAAGUAAACAUCUGUCCACGAGUGUGCUCGCACACACUGUUGUACAGACCUGUCUGCUCACCCAUCACGUCCAAAUUCCCCACGGACAGAGGCGUUCACAUAAUGCAGAGGCCACAGAUGUACCCAGUCUCAGACACACUGAAUACCACUGGGGUGGACAGCGAGGGUUUCUCAGGGACACAGAGACGUACUCCAAGAAAACACGCAAAGAGACGCUGUCAUUAGUUUUAUUGUCAAUAAGAACAAUGCGGCAGCCGUAGGUCUUUGGGGAGCAGCAGCUCGAAGACAAACAUAAUAAAGAUCAGGCAGCCCUUGAGGCACCCUUCUCCCCACCUCUGCUCCACACUUACCGGGGAGACACUCAAAUUGGACACCGUGAUAAACCCUCACAAAUAAACACAUGUGUAUUUAUCUUGGAACAAAGCUCUCAGCUCAGUGCUCAUAAGACCUACAGCUACAGAUACGACCCAAACCUGUUUUGUAAAACGGGCUUUCGUGCUGUGGAAGAUGGAGUCACAGUCCCCCAAGAUGUCCACGUCUUAAUUCCUGGAACCUGUAAAUCUGUUACCUUCCAGGGCAAAGGGGAAUUAAGUUUGCAGAUGGACUUAGGGUUGCUGAUCGCUUGGGUUCGAAACAGAGAGAUUUCUCUAGAUUAUCCACAGGGUUCAAGGUCCACAACAUCCUUAAAGGCAGAGGACAGAAGCAGGAGAGAACAACCAGCGAGAGACGUGUGCGAAGCACUCAGCCUAACACUGUUGACUUUGAACACUGAGGAAAGGGCUGCGUGCAGAGGAAGCGGACUGCCCCUCGGAGCCGGGAAAGGAAGGCAAUGGACUCCAGGAGGCCUCCAGUCCUGCAGAUGGCUUGAUUUUCACCCAGUAGGACCCACUUUCGACUUCUGAACUACAGGACUGUGAGACUCUGCUGUUUACAAUGUGCAGCUGUCCCAAGAAUUGCUGCACAUACUCUGGGGAGACAGCCCUGAUGGGAAGGGGGCUCGAGGCAGACAGAGGAUGAAGUUUCCAGCAGAUCAACCUGAUACUCAUGGACAUGACCCCGGUUGCAAGGCCAGCACCCUCCCAGCCCGCGCUCUGUAGCUCUGUAGCAGCUCUGAGCUGAGAGGAUGACUCAGAUUCCUGGGGUUAAGGAUUUGCUUUCAGGUAGAGCUGCUGAAAUUCAGACCCACUGCCUCCACCCCUGUGUUCUUUCCCUGAGGCGUUAUGUCCUGUCUUCUGAGACUUGAUUUUCUCUUUCCUGUCCCCCUCCUUGAAGCCCCUGCUCAGGGCUAAUGGUGCCUGUGGCGGGGGGGUGGGGGGGUGGGGGGGGUUCCUCCCUCACUUUUAUCCUGGAUGCUCAUUUGUUCUGUGUCCUUCUGACCACCCUCCCCCCCCACACACACACAGCAAUGUCACUUUAUCCACCCUUUAAACUGCCCUACAACAUUCCAUACUCAUUCUUCCCUCCAGUGUGUCCCCAGACCUCCUCAUCCCGCCUCCCCCCGCCCCCCCCAGCAGAGUCCCCUUAGGGGCCAUGCAUUUGCUCCUGCAUUCAGGUGGGCUCCCAGCAAGCACUUGCUGAGUCGAGCACUGUGCUGGGAACUCUGGUACAGGGUGAGCAGGCCAGCCAUGGUCCCUUGUCCUCUGGCAAAUUAGAUUCUGUUGGGAAAGACUAACCAUAAGCAAGUAAACAAAUAAAUGAACAAGAUAAUUAUA
Molecule: long non-coding RNA, 2278 nt
Organism: Felis catus (domestic cat)
Lineage: Eukaryota; Metazoa; Chordata; Mammalia; Carnivora; Felidae
Exons: 2
Source: RefSeq, a predicted model, not a curated record